CAGCCGCCGCGGUAAAACCAGCACCUCAAGUGGUCAGGAUGAUUAUUGGGCCUAAAGCAUCCGUAGCCUGCUUUGUUAGUUUUCGGUUAAAUCCAUACGCUCAACGUAUGGGCUGCCGGGAAUACUGCAAAGCUGGGGAGUGGGAGAGGUAGACGGUACUCGGUAGGAAGGGGUAAAAUCCUUUGAUCUAUUGAUGACCACCUGUGGCGAAGGCGGUCUACCAGAACACGUCCGACGGUGAGGGAUGAAAGCUGGGGGAGCAAACCGGAUUAGAUACCCGGGUAGUCCCAGCUGUAAACUAUGCAAACUCAGUGAUGCAUUGGCUUGAUGCCAAUGCAGUGCUGCAGGGAAGCCGUUAAGUUUGCCGCCUGGGAAGUACGUACGCAAGUAUGAAACUUAAAGGAAUUGGCGGGGGAGCAC
Molecule: ribosomal RNA, 420 nt
Filed under: uncultured Nitrososphaerota archaeon
Lineage: Archaea; Thermoproteati; Nitrososphaerota
Description: bacterial SSU rRNA
Rfam family: Archaeal small subunit ribosomal RNA
Source: RNAcentral